UACGGAGGAGGCAAGCGUUAUCCGGAAUGAUUGGGCGUAAAGCGUCCGUAGGUGGUUUUUCCAGUCGGCUGUUAAAGAGCAAAGCUCAACUUUGUAAAGGCAGUGGAAACUGAAAGACUAGAGAGCCGUAGGGGUAGAGGGAAUUCCCGGUGUAGCGGUGAAAUGCGUAGAUAUCUGGAGGAACACCGGUGGCGAAGGCGGCAUCCUGGACCAAUAUUGACGCUGAGGAGCGAAAGCCAGGGGAGCAAACGGG
This 253-nucleotide ribosomal RNA is filed under the name uncultured bacterium. RNAcentral describes it as "partial 16S ribosomal RNA". It matches the Rfam family "Bacterial small subunit ribosomal RNA", at positions 524 to 776 of the family's 1533-position model. The record is from RNAcentral.